Long non-coding RNA from Amblyraja radiata (thorny skate), 421 nucleotides. RefSeq lists it as uncharacterized. Lineage: Eukaryota; Metazoa; Chordata; Chondrichthyes; Rajiformes; Rajidae. The transcript is spliced from 4 exons. The record is from RefSeq and is a predicted model, not a curated record.
UAGUUGAAUGUUUAUUGUCUAACCCCCUUUCUCUCUGAUUCCCAGGAUCAGGUUAAAUCAUCUAUACAAUCUCUGACAACAAAUAAAUCAGCCAUCCAGGAAAUUGAAGAGCAACAGAAGCAGAAGAUUUCCCAAGUCCGGGAGCAGUCACAAAUCCUCGAGUCUCACGUCACAUCUCAGUUUGCUGAACUGCAUCAGAUUCUCGUGAAGAAAGAGCAGCGCAUUCUCGGAGAGAUCAAGGAAGAUGAGGAGAAGAUUCUAAGUCCAAUGGAGAAAAAUCUUCAAGACAUUCAAGAUAAUUUAAACUUUAUUGAGGAGGAACUCUCAAAUCUGCAGUGGCGAAUGGAACAAACAGACAUCGUGUUAUUUCUGAAGGUGGAAGCUGUUCGCAAGAGGAGAAUUAGUGAUGAAUCCCACAUAU